Marmota flaviventris (yellow-bellied marmot) is the source of this 975-nucleotide long non-coding RNA. RefSeq lists it as uncharacterized. Lineage: Eukaryota; Metazoa; Chordata; Mammalia; Rodentia; Sciuridae. The record is from RefSeq and is a predicted model, not a curated record.
CGCUAGGCAAAGACUGCAGCUACCCGCUCGGGGCCCUGAGGCCAGGAGCCAAUCUCCUUCCCUUUUCUGGGGGCUGAGCACACAUCUCCCGGCCAGCAGAGUACAUCAUCUUGUCCUGACUGGCUGUCAGACACUGGGGUUGUUACCAACACAAAGAGAAGACAGAAGGAAGGAAAAUGGCCAGUCAUGGAGACAGGACAAACGGAGUCACAGGGUCGACACUGACAGCUCCAAGCCCAGAACUACCUGGAGAGAGGAGCUCCAACCAGGCACCAUGAGUUCCCUCAGUGCACUCCCGACAAGGUCUGGUGCCAAGCUAUUCCUGUGCUGACUCCUGGUGUGCCCAUCCUGCCAACCCCAUGAAGGCAAGACCGUCUCCUGCCCUGCUGCACCACCCGCGCAUGCCACUGGCCCUGAUAUAGGAGAGAUGCAGGUUUCUUCAGACAUCAGCUCUCCCAGAGGCCUCCCAACACCCACAAAAUAGGCUCGCUCUUCUGAAUCUGCAGAACAUGCUGCCAAUCUCUGUACCACUGAGCAGGCGUGAAAACAGGGCGACAUCCCCUUCUCCACAAGUUGCCAGCUCCAGGGACAAGAGCCUCUGGGAAGGGUGAGCACAAUGCUCACAUGCAGCAGGCACCUGUGUCACUCCUGGAUGGCUAAUCGGACAGAGGCUCUAACAACUUCCUCUGUGAGAGGGUCCCCAGUGUCCAGAGAGAAAGGCCUCCUGCUCCUUGGGACCCAGCUGCACUCUACACAGAGGAGUCUCGACUGGGCCCAGUACUCAGGGCCUCUGCCUCCUCUCUAGGCUGUUGACAUUGAGCCUUCCAGGACUCAGCCCCAGACAAGGCCUCCCUCACCUCGCACAGGCCCCUAACAUCGGGAAAAGAGGCCAGCUCAAGAUACAGACGUAAGGGGCUGUGGCUGUGGCUCAGUGGUGGAGUGCUGGCCUAGCACGUGUAAGGCACUGGGUUCAAU